Molecule: ribosomal RNA, 433 nt
Filed under: uncultured bacterium
Lineage: Bacteria
Description: partial 16S ribosomal RNA
Rfam family: Bacterial small subunit ribosomal RNA
Source: RNAcentral
AACGAACGCUGGCGGCAUGCCUAACACAUGCGAGUCGAACGAGACCUUCGGGUCUAGUGGCGCACGGGUGCGUAACGCGUGGGAACCUGCCCUUAGGUUCGGAAUAACUCCCCGAAAGGGGUGCUAAUACCGGAUAAUGUCUUCGGACUAAAGAUUUAUCGCCUUUGGAUGGGCCCGCGUUGGAUUAGCUAGUUGGUAGGGUAAAAGCCUACCAAGGCGACGAUCCAUAGCUGGUCUGAGAGGAUGAUCAGCCACACUGGGACUGAGACACGGCCCAGACUCCUACGGGAGGCAGCAGUGGGGAAUAUUGGACAAUGGGCGAAAGCCUGAUCCAGCAAUGCCGCGUGAGUGAUGAAGGCCUUAGGGUUGUAAAGCUCUUUUACCCGGGAUGAUAAUGACAGUACCGGGAGAAUAAGCUCCGGCUAACUCCGUG